RNA transcript from Hypomesus transpacificus, 7454 nucleotides. RefSeq lists it as uncharacterized. The record is from RefSeq and is a predicted model, not a curated record. NCBI's taxonomy places the organism in Eukaryota, Metazoa, Chordata, Actinopteri, Osmeriformes, Osmeridae. The transcript is spliced from 2 exons.
GAUGCAAAAUUCAUAUAAAAGUACAUUUCUGUUUAAUUCCAUUGACUGCUUUGAUGUAAAUCAACAAGUCAGCAUUGUAGUUGAACUAUUCUUAAAUUACAAAUUGUUAUUAUUUCAUGCACUACUAGGGAUGCACCGAUAUGAAAUGUUGGUCCGAUAACCGAUAACAUGUUAUAUUUGAAAGCCGAUAACCGAUACAUGCCAAUAAAUACAAAGCCUGAGUCUGAUUACAAAAACAAAAAGCAAAUAAAUACAGUGGACAACUGCUUUUAUUGAAACCUUAAUGGUAUAAAACAAUAAACAGAUUUCUUAAAUUUUACAAUGAAUCAUACAUUCCUAUGGCCGACUUUUAUAUACAUAAAAUAUAUUGCUUGACAGAAAAAAUAAGUAGUUUCACGGGUGGAAAUAAUCCAUAGAUUAGCUUUAAUUUAUCCACCACAUUUUCUUAUUGGACCGAUAAUACGAUAUACUCAAGUACUCAGAUCCUCAAACUAGACUUACAUCCCAAAACAGUAAAAUAUAAAAGGACACAGUAAUUAGUCAUCAGGAAAGUCUAGAACAAACUGAGGAUUAAAGCUGGGGUUGGCAAGUUUUGCGAAGCUAGCUAUUUUUACUUUUGUUUGACACGAUUCAAACCAAAAUAUCCCACCCCUUCCUUCAAAGCCACUCCCACAAAACUACAGUGAUGCGCAUUGAAUGCAGGGGCAGAGUGCGCGCAGGUAGGUAGACAGGUAGCCCGUCUUAUCAUUUGUCAAUAUACAGAUUAAUGAUUGGUCUUAUUUAUUACAGUUUUGCGACGCUCACAUGUCGGAUUGAUUUCAUAUUACUGUCAAACCUUUAGAUGUAUUUGUUGCUAUCAAGGUGUGAAAUUUGAUAAAAAAUGCUUUUCAAAUACAUUAGAUACCCUGCAUUUAAGCUUAAUCUGUAUUUCUUCACAGGUUAAAGAUGGAGAGAAAGUGUCUACUUCUCUGUUUUGUGUCACUGCUGCUCUUUCCACUGGCUACAGCCUCUGGUAACCUCACCCUCACCUCAGAAGACCUCCCCCUCAACACAGAAGACAACCUCCCCCUCAAUAGAGUUGACCUCCCUGUCCUUAACACAAUCAAUGACCUAAAAAAUGUUGACUUUGGCCACACAUUCCCUCGGCAUGGCCUGUCUUUGCUUCACUAUAUUGCACAUUUUUUACAAGUUGACAAUAACAACAAUAUAUGGGCAGAUUUCAAUCCAAGAAGGAAUGACUUUGGUUUUCAUGAAUAUCGCAACUAUGAAAACAUAUUUCCACCCAUUUUCAACCAGAACAGCGGGGCCUACUACAGUUUGGGAAAUAUUAGCCCUGGAAGUUCUGGUAACCUUUCACUCCCUCCUUACGUUACAUGGGCCUCAUAUCAAACCAAUAACCUAAAUAGAAACAGAGACCGGAUUGUUGUACAAUUGAACGCGUUCACACAUCAAGUUCAGGAUAUAUACAUAACACAGCACAUCUACAACAGCAAUCAGUAUGACCCCAGCCAGACCUACCGCAUCAGUGUCAACCUCCUGAGAGAGAUUCAGCUACUUCUGAUAAACGUGCCGUUCAAUUAUAAUGCGUUCCUGACCCUAGCUGGCUACGUUUGGCCGUUCUUCAGCGACAACAAUAACUGCUUCAUUGGUGGAAUGAGAAAACUUGUCUUGGAGGACACAUCUUCAGACAAUCCUCUCUCAGCUUUAGAGCCUGCCAGACAAAAGCAGUGCGCUGAUAUCAAGCUGCAGGUGCGCACUACAUACAAUGGCUACGCUCGAAUGAGAUGGGUCAACAUCCCUUCAAACCUGCUAGACGUGGGCACAAAGUUGGAGCUGUACAAAGACACCUACGUUUUAAAAUCAAUCCCUAUUGAGGAGCACAGUUACGGAUUUUACGACACCAAUCAGUACCUGAACCCUGGACUGCAGGUCCGACUCGUGACCAAGGCUGAUAUCAUCAUCAGCCAGAGCCCCAAGCUGGACGAUGCAUACUGGAGCUUCCCCACUAACAUCCCUGAUUAUGAGGCCAGUCUGCAGCUGUACACAAAGGACGGCUGGGCCUCCGCUCGUCUCUACAUUCAGAAAUCCUUUACUGAUUGGAAAAACACUUUUUAUUACUCAUGGGUUGGAUUUUACAACUCAGACAAACAAGGUCAUAAACAAUACUUUACGUACCAGUGGGCAAUUUAUUUCACUCAACGGAGCUUCAACUCUGAUUAUGACGUCUAUGAAUAUCAAUCAAACAUGUGUAUGUCACCUGGGGCACAGGCACGCUUUUUCCUUACUAAAGAAUAUGAAUAUCUGGCAGUAACUGUACCAUGGGAGAGUGAAAACUUUUAAAACAGGAAGUGUCUAGUGUUCCUAUCCUCUAUUCUUUAAUGAAUUAUGAUGCUCAUCAAAAGCCUAAAUCAAUGAAUGAUUUCAUAAAUAGUUUAUCUUGAUUAUUAUCAACACUGGACAAUGGAACACUGGCCUGUUCCAAAUCAUUACCUGUCCAGGCAUCAAACUGAACAGACAAUCAUGAUACUUCAUUUUUGGUAAACAACUUUUAUUGUAUUCUGGUUGGAUAGUUAUUAAGAUUGAGGGCAGAGCAAGCCUUGUGUAGACUGUUUCUAUGUCGGACCCAGAUUGCCCAUACGGUAGGAAUGGCCUUGUUUGUGUGUGAUAGAAAACACAGUGCCAUAUCCUCAUGGAAGAUGCUAGAGUGAACAUAGGAGAUGUUACCGCGGUUGCAGGGGAUGCAUUUGCACCACCUACUGUUGGGAUGAAAACAUUUAGAUUUUCAAAUUAAUGUAAAAAAACGAUUAAAUGAUUUUAGAAAAAAAAAAUUGACGUCAGAGUUGUUUGUUCUAUUAUGGUUUGUUGUACUCUAAUAAUGAAUUAAACAGUUUAAGAUCUAUUAUUAGUUUUGAGCAUGUUUCCUGUAAGCAAAACAAAUUCACUACUCUUUGCACUCCCAGUUCUAAAACCUAUGACAGUGAAGAUCGAGAUUAGCUCGUCUUCUGGGGGACCAAUGUGUAUUUGUGUUUUAGAAAUUAAAAGAAAUUAUUUCUCAAAAUAUUUAAGAGUUAUAUUGUAUGAUAUUUAUGUUAAUUUAAUCCUUUACUUUAAGACAAAUUAAAUAGAGGUAAGAUGCUAUUAAAUCUUUUUUGACCAAAUAUUUGCAUUGUUUGUGGUGCAAAGUAUCCAAAGUAUUCUUAAAAAGACAUAUUAUACUAAACACGUCAUGGACGUCAUCAGAGUUACAUAUCUGGAUACUGAAAUCAAUUGCCCACUGAUACUUUGCAUAUGAAGUAGCAACACUUUUGUCUAAUAUUUGUUUCAUGUGAGGUAACAGUAGUGGGCCUUGCAGAGAGCAUGCACACCUGUACAUAUCAAAACAAAUAGGGUUUUGACAUGACAAUAUACAAUUCAGCAAUAAGGUACGAGAGGCAGUAAUUUAUCGUCAAUAAAGUGUUCCAGGGCGUUGUUAGGCCCGACGCGCAGCGCUUCAGGAACUCCCUCUCAACCAAUCAGAAUGCUUGAUUUCAUCCACCCGUAUUAUAAUUCUGAUUAUAAUACGAGUGGAUGAAAUCAAGCAUCUGAGGAGAGUUGGAAUGGUGUGUGUUCCACUACAGCCUACCGCUUUCCACACUUUUAGUGACAGUGCACUAUUGUUGAGGAAUCAAUUAGCCUAGUAUUUCUCAACAGAUCUACAAGAGUUCUACAGUUUUUCAGUCCUUGCUUGACGCUAACGACUGUUACUAAUACUUACUUAUACGCACUUCUCGUCCUAAAAUAGUUGCUGCACUUUGUAGCGUUUUGGAGAUUUGUUUGGGGGGGCCAAAUGGAAAAACGUAGCUUCAGCUGAGUGAAUAAAAGGUGAAACUGGCCUUUAUUUAAAGUGAAGCAACGCCAGGCCAUUCACGCCUUUCCUUGACGAGGAAGUGAAUACUUGUUAAUAUUUGGCUUGUCCAGACAAUGGAAAUGUACUUUUUGAACUGCGCACUUCUCGUCCUAAAAUAUUUGCUGCAAUAUUUGCUGAAAAAAAUGUGUUUGCCAAAUGUAAAAUGUACAAUACAGUUCAGGCAUAAUCAGCUAUGUGUAGGCCAAGGCCUACUGUGGUGAGCCAACCCUCAUGUUAGAAUUCACCUUCAGCUGAGUGAAUGUGAAGUGAAACUGGCCUUCUUUUAAGAGGAAGUUGAUACCUGAUAAUAUUUGGCUUGUCCAGACAAUAUAAAUGUACUCUUGACAUAUCGUUUUAUAAUCUGAAUAAAUACACUGUGUGUUGAAGACAGACCGAGGGUGAUGGUGUUUUGUCGUGUCAAUGUAAGUCUGUUCAUGCUUUUUUUUUCAAGUUUAAGUGUGAGCACAGCCCAUAGAUUAGGUCACUAGGUAAACAUUUUGUGCCAGUAAAAAUAUGCAGAGCAAAAUUCUAUCCUGCCAAGGUGGGAUGACCAUGGCUCAGGGGGUAGAAAAGGUCACCCGCUAACUGCCAGGUCGGUGGUUCGAUCCCUGAUUCCUCCUGGCCAUGUGUGGAAGUGUAUUUGAGCAAGGCACUGAACCCUGAGUCUCUCCUGAUUGGCUGGCUAGCGCCUGGCAUGGCAGCUCUGUCCAUGGGUGAAUUAGAGGCAACUGGAAAGUGCUUUGGGUGUGCCGUUAAAUGCCGUCCAUUUACCAAGUCAUCCUAUUAAACUUCAAGGGCUAAGAUAAGAUAAAUGUGUCUAAGAUAUUGUAGGUUAUUUAGUAAGAUAAACAAUGCAUAUGUGGAGGACAACCAAAAACAAAACUCUAUUUGCAAUUAUGGUUACCAUUGAAUGAAAAGAACAUUGCAUAGGCUAAAUGCUGAGCAGCAUUUAGCACUACUCUGUUUGGGGCAAUCUCGUUGUUAUGAUCAGUGACCUAUGCACUUUUGUAAAGCUCUCUUUUGGACAGCGCUGAUUGGACCAUUGGAUUGGACACGGAAGAUAGAAACCACAUCUAGUAGGAACAAGAUAGGCUAUAGUGCGAAAUCACACAACAAUUGCUUGGAUCAUGACUAAAAAGAAUGUUGAUUUUGGUUUCGGUCCAAAUUGUAUUGCGUCCGGGUCCGGAUCCGCCCUACAGUGUUUGCUCUCACAGAGAUAGAUCUAUGACGGUACUUUCUGCUAAAUAUAUCUUGAUUACAAAAAAUAUUUGCAAACGUGUCAUUUGGCUUGUCCAGACAAUAGAAAUGUACUCCUGAGAUAGAGUUUACAGUAAAGUAAAUGCCAUAGGACAAAGGUCAAGGCUCAUUAAUCUCAAGGAAAUAAGUUUCAGAUAAUAGUCUUUUCAUGGAACUAUGGCCUGGCAAGGGGGUGUUCCAUCAAAUAUUGGUGUAAUGAUAGGCUGUGUUCAGAGCUUAAAGGGAGUUGAGAAGAUGCUGAAAUGCAUCAUUGGUUCACCAGAAACAGGUUGAAGAUGGAGAGAAAGUGUCUACUUGUCUGUUUUGUGUCACUGCUGCUCUUCCCACUGGCCACAGUCUCUGGUAUCCUCCCCCUCAACACAGACAACCUCCCCCUCAACACAGACAACCUCCCCCUCAACACAGACAACCUCCCCCUCAACACAGACAACCUCCCCCUCAGCAGAGACAACCUACCCCUCAACAGAGAUGACCUCCCCCUCAACACAGACAACCUACCCCUCAACAGAGAUGACCUCCCCCUAAAGAGAGACAACCUACCCCUCAACAGAGAUGACCUCCCCCUAAAGAGAGACAACCUACCCCUCAACAGAGAUGACCUCCCCCUAAAGAGAGACAACCUACCCCUCAACAGAGAUGACCUUCCCCUCAGAAGACACAACCUCCCCCUCAACAGAGAUGACCUCCCCCUAAAGAGAGACAACCUCACCCUCAACAGAGAUGACCUCCCCCUAAAGAGAGACAACCUCACCCUCAACAGAGAUGACCUCCCCCUCAACACAGACAACCUCCCCCUCAACAGAGAUGACCUCCCCCUGAAGAGAGACAACCUCCCCCUCAACAGAGAUGACCUCCCCCUCAACAGAGAUGACCUCCCCCUCAACACAGACAACCUCCCCCUCAACAGAGAUGACCUCCCCCUGAAGAGAGACAACCUCCCCCUCAACAGAGAUGACCUCCCCCUCAACAGAGAUGACCUCCCCCUCAACACAGACAACCUCCCCCUCAACAGAGAUGACCUCCCCCUGAAGAGAGACAACCUCCCCCUCAACAGAGACGACCUCCCCCUCCGACUCAUGACCAAGGAUGAUAUCAUCAGCCAGAUUCCCAAGCUGGACGAUGCAUACUGGAGCUUCCCCACUAACAUCCCUGAUUAUGAGGCCAGUCUGCAGCUGUACACAAAGGACGGCUGGGCCUCCGCUCGUCUCUACAUUCAGAAAUCCUUUAUUGAUUGGAAAAACACUUUUCGUAACUCGUGGGUUGGAUUUUACCAAUCAGACGAACAAGGUAAUAAAAAAUACUCUAGGUACCAGUGGGCAACUUCUUUCACUCAACGGAGCUUCAACUUUGAUUAUGGUUAUGACGUCUAUGAAUAUCAAUCAGACAUGCCUAUGUCACCUGGGGCACAAGCACGCUUUUUCCUUACUAAAGAAUAUGAAUAUCUGGCAGUGACUGCACCAUGGGAAAGUGAAAACCUUUAAAACAGGAAGUGUCUAGUGUUCCUCUCCUCUAUUAUUUGAUGAAUUAUGAUGCUCAUCAAAAGCCUAAAUCAAUUAAUGAUUUCAUGAAUAGUUUUAUUGUUGACUGACUAGUCACUGAAGCUGAAGUAUUGAUUUGUUAUGUUGCUCUGAUUGGAUGUUUCUUUCUGUUUAAAGUUCCUUGAUUUUAACUGCUGUAACUGUUCUCUUCUACCUGAUUAAAAGUCAAUUAGAAGUUUUCACUCAGAUAAUUUUCAUAAUGCGUUGUCCACACAAGACAUCUGAAAAUAAAAUAGAUUUUGAUAACUUUCAAUACGUUUUGAAGGUGUUUUGAUUUUACAUCAUGUUGUCAUUAGGAAUGACCAAUGGGCCAUAAAGGAAGUUGAGGAAUUUAUAUUUGUAGGUAAUAUUCUGAAUUCCCACCUCAAACUCAAUAAACACAUUAACAAACUCUGUAAGACUGUCCGGACAAACCUGAACUGUUUCAGAAUGAUAUGGCAUCACAUACCUGACAAGGCAGCUUCAUUGUUUUUUCAUGCCAUGAUACUCUCUCUCUUAUCCUACUGUGUUACUGGGGCCAAGCCUCCCAGACAACAGUCAAACCAUCACAUAAUUAUACAAACAGCCACUGAAAAUAAUGGAUCAGAAACCAAUAAUAUGGCACCACUGUUUGAUUGUACAGAAAUACAAGCUUUUCAAUUUUGAUAGCUUUAUGAAGUUCUCCUUUCUUUUUUAAAUGCACAAAUAAUCUAGCUCCAGCCAUACUCUGUCCUUUUGUGACAAAAAACAAUACCAGGAGUGGCCACUGGGGGAGCAGUAGGCAACUGCAGAGC